This 313-nucleotide long non-coding RNA is filed under the name Phascolarctos cinereus (koala). RNAcentral's name for it is "lncRNA (ENSPCIG00000016314.2)". The record is from RNAcentral. Lineage: Eukaryota; Metazoa; Chordata; Mammalia; Diprotodontia; Phascolarctidae.
UUCCUACCUACAGAUUGGGCCUAAACAACUGAAUUAUGAUAAUUUUGUUCUUGCUGGGAUGCAAUUUAAAUAUACUCUUUUUGUAAGAGUAUCUGAUGGAGGCACUCCAGAAUUAUCAAGAAUAAUAAAAUUGUUGGAUUCAUUAGACAGAGAAAUUCAAGCCCAAUACAAAUUAGUAGUAAGAGCAACAGAUACAGACAAUGACAUUGAACCCGAUCCACUCAGACAGAGAAGUAGUUCUGUUGUUGUGACCAUCAAUAUCUGGUAAAUAUAAGACUUUUAAAAAUUAAUUAAUUUACUUUUAGUUUUCAAC